UGGGUAACCUGCCCAUAAGACUGGGAUAACUCCGGGAAACCGGGGCUAAUACCGGAUAACAUUUUGAACUGCAUGGUUCGAAAUUGAAAGGCGGGCUUCGGCUGUCACUUAUGGAUGGACCCUGCGUCGCAUUAGCCUAGUUGGUGAGGUAACCGGCUCACCAAGGCAACGAUGCGUAACCGACCUGAGAGGGUGAUCGGCCACACUGGGACUGAGACACGGCCCAGACUCCUACGGGAGGCAGCAGUAGGGAAUCUUCCGCAAUGGACGAAAGUCUGACGGAGCAACGCCGCGUGAGUGAUGAAGGCUUUCGGGUCGUAAAACUCUGUUGNUAGGGAAGAACAAGUGCUAGUUGAAUAAGCUGGCACCUUGACGGUACCUAACCAGAAAGCCACGGCUAACUACGUGCCAGCAGCCGCGGUAAUACGUAGGUGGCAAGCGUUAUCCGGAAUUAUUGGGCGUAAAGCGCGCGCAGGUGGUUUCUUAAGUCUGAUGUGAAAGCCCACGGCUCAACCGGUGGAGGGUCAUUGGAAACUGGGAGACUUGAGUGCAGAAGAAGGAAAGUGGAAUUCCAUGUGUAAGCGGUGAAAUGCGUAAAAUAUUGGAGGAACACCAUGGGCGAAGGCGA
This 628-nucleotide ribosomal RNA is filed under the name Bacillus cereus. RNAcentral describes it as "bacterial SSU rRNA". It matches the Rfam family "Bacterial small subunit ribosomal RNA", at positions 118 to 724 of the family's 1533-position model. The record is from RNAcentral. Lineage: Bacteria; Bacillati; Bacillota; Bacilli; Caryophanales; Bacillaceae.